UUUGAAUACAGGUGUGAGGUUACAGUAACCUAAUAAGACCAAAAUCAUUUGAUUUUUUUUUCUUUUUUUUCCAUGUCUGUCCUGUCUGAACUUCGGUGACUCUUCACAAAAUAGUACGCACUUCUGGGGCCCAGUAGCCAACUGGGGUCUUCCCAUUGCUGCCAUCAAUGACAUGAAAAAGUCUCCAGAGAUUAUCAGUGGGCGGAUGACAUUCGCUCUCUGUUGCUAUUCUUUGACAUUCAUGAGAUUUGCCUACAAGGUACAGCCUCGGAACUGGCUUCUGUUUGCAUGUCACGCAACAAAUGAAGUAGCCCAGCUCAUCCAGGGAGGGCGGCUUAUCAAACACGAGAUGACUAAAAAGGCAUCUGCAUAACAAUGGAAAAUGAAGAACAAGGUCUUGAAGGGACAGCAUUGCCAGCUGCUGCUGAGUCACAGAUUUCAUUACAAAUAGCCUCACUAAGGAAAAUACACUGAAUGCUAUUUUUACUAACCAUUCUAUUUUUAUAGAAAUAGCUGAGAGUUUCUAAACCAACUCUCUGCUGCCUUACAAGUAUUAAAUAUUUUACUUCUUU
RNAcentral lists this small RNA (572 nucleotides) under Pongo abelii (Sumatran orangutan). RNAcentral describes it as "retained intron". The record is from RNAcentral. Lineage: Eukaryota; Metazoa; Chordata; Mammalia; Primates; Hominidae.